RNAcentral lists this ribosomal RNA (497 nucleotides) under uncultured bacterium. Its description in RNAcentral is "partial 16S ribosomal RNA". It matches the Rfam family "Bacterial small subunit ribosomal RNA", at positions 28 to 507 of the family's 1533-position model. The record is from RNAcentral.
GAUGAACGCUGGCGACGUGCCUAAUACAUGCAAGUCGAGCGAACAGACGAGGAGCUUGCUCCUCUGACGUUAGCGGCGGACGGGUGAGUAACACGUGGAUAACCUACCUAUAAGACUGGGAUAACUUCGGGAAACCGGAGCUAAUACCGGAUAACAUGUUGAACCGCAUGGUUCAACAGUGAAAGACGGUCUUGCUGUCACUUAUAGAUGGAUCCGCGCCGCAUUAGCUAGUUGGUAAGGUAACGGCUUACCAAGGCAACGAUGCGUAGCCGACCUGAGAGGGUGAUCGGCCACACUGGAACUGAGACACGGUCCAGACUCCUACGGGAGGCAGCAGUAGGGAAUCUUCCGCAAUGGGCGAAAGCCUGACGGAGCAACGCCGCGUGAGUGAAGAAGGUCUUCGGAUCGUAAAACUCUGUUAUUAGGGAAGAACAAAUGUGUAAGUAACUAUGCACGUCUUGACGGUACCUAAUCAGAAAGCCACGGCUAACUACGUG